Molecule: non-coding RNA, 82 nt
Filed under: Vannella robusta
Lineage: Eukaryota; Discosea; Flabellinia; Vannellidae
Source: RNAcentral
UACGCUCUCCCUUGGUUCCAAUGCUGUGAAAGAAUCCCUGCGCUCUGUUAUUGUACAAAAAACACGAAGAACGUUUGGUGUU